Molecule: long non-coding RNA, 471 nt
Organism: Andrographis paniculata
Lineage: Eukaryota; Viridiplantae; Streptophyta; Magnoliopsida; Lamiales; Acanthaceae
Exons: 3
Source: RefSeq, a predicted model, not a curated record
CGGGAACCAUAACCUGUCCUAUACGGGAUUAGUAAGUCCUAUGGUCAUGUGGAGCUCGAUGCAUACCAGGUUUGGAGCUCGUGGGUGGACAACGCCUUGUUUCGAUAGCUCUGAAGAGGUAGAAGAAGAAGGGACAGUAAUUGAAAACAAGAUGAAAGUGUUGCAGAAGAAAGACAGCAUGUGCAAGAUGCAGCCUUCUGAAGAAAAUUCAAAGAAAUUUUGGAGUAUUUGAGGAAUCGAGCUCAUACUUCUGCAAUUGUAGACAACGCUUGUUCCAACAGCUCUGAAGAGGUAGAUGAUCAAGAAGGUAAUGGCUGACCAAAGAUAUUCAAAUUAGAGGCCGGUAGUCUAACCAGAACUUACGUAAAAAGCUGAAUGAAGAUCAAUUGCCUUGUGAGAAAAGAAAAUUGAUCCGCAAUGGCAAUUUACGAACGAUGAAUGUAUGGACAAAGUUGUGAGAUCAUGUUUGAG